AUAGAAUCCGACUGCCUGGAGGUCGUUAAUCUCUGGAACUCGCGUCAUGAUGAUAGGACUGUUGUGGCACCCAUCCUGUCCGAAAUUUUGGAGCACUCUACUAGUUUUAAGUCUUUCUGUAUUCAAUAUAUUUCGAGAACAGCCAACUACCCUGCUCACCUAUGUGCUAGAUAUGCAAGCACACUGGAUGUAACAGAAUGUUGGUUUGACUCUGCCCUGGUAUCAUUGUAA
RNAcentral lists this ribosomal RNA (231 nucleotides) under Triticum aestivum (bread wheat). Its description in RNAcentral is "partial small subunit ribosomal RNA". Lineage: Eukaryota; Viridiplantae; Streptophyta; Magnoliopsida; Poales; Poaceae. The record is from RNAcentral.